AUACGGAGGGUGCAAGCGUUAUUCGGAAUCACUGGGCGUAAAGGACACGUAGGCGGGUUGGCAAGUCAGAUGUGAAAUCCUACAGCUUAACUGUAGAACUGCAUUUGAAACUGCUAACCUAGAGUAUGGGAGGGGGAGAUGGAAUUAGUGGUGUAGGGGUAAAAUCCGUAGAUAUCACUAGGAAUACCGAAAGCGAAGGCGAUCUCCUGGAACAUAACUGACGCUAAGGCGUGAAAGCGUGGGGAGCAAACAGGAUUAGAAACCCGAGUAGUCC
This 274-nucleotide ribosomal RNA is filed under the name uncultured bacterium. RNAcentral's name for it is "partial 16S ribosomal RNA". It matches the Rfam family "Bacterial small subunit ribosomal RNA", at positions 523 to 796 of the family's 1533-position model. The record is from RNAcentral.